UACACUUAUUUAUGUUUUUGUUUAACUUGUGGACAAAGACUUAUAGACAGGUGCAAAAACUAAAUCAUCUUUUCCAACCCAGAACUCAUUGUUCAGUAUGAGUUUUGAUACAUAUAAGAAGGCAUAUU
This is a small nucleolar RNA of Chlorocebus sabaeus (green monkey), 128 nucleotides long. The record is from Ensembl. NCBI's taxonomy places the organism in Eukaryota, Metazoa, Chordata, Mammalia, Primates, Cercopithecidae.